AGUGAACGCUGGCGGUAGGCCUAACACGUGCAAGUCGAACGGCAGCACAGUAAGAGCUUGCUCUUACGGGUGGCGAGUGGCGGACGGGUGAGGAAUACAUCGGAAUCUACUUUUUCGUGGGGGAUAACGUAGGGAAACUUACGCUAAUACCGCAUACGACCUACGGGUGAAAGCAGGGGAUCUUCGGACCUUGCGCGAUUGAAUGAGCCGAUGUCGGAUUAGCUAGUUGGCGGGGCAAAGGCCCACCAAGGCGACGAUCCGUAGCUGGUCUGAGAGGAUGAUCAGCCACACUGGAACUGAGACACGGUCCAGACUCCUACGGGAGGCAGCAGUGGGGAAUAUUGGACAAUGGGCGCAAGCCUGAUCCAGCCAUACCGCGUGGGUGAAGAAGGCCUUCGGGUUGUAAAGCCCUUUUGUUGGGAAAGAAAAGCAGCAGGUUAAUACCCCGCUGUUCUGACGGUACCCAAAGAAUAAGCACCGGCUAACUUCGUG
RNAcentral lists this ribosomal RNA (492 nucleotides) under uncultured bacterium. Its description in RNAcentral is "partial 16S ribosomal RNA". It matches the Rfam family "Bacterial small subunit ribosomal RNA", at positions 29 to 507 of the family's 1533-position model. The record is from RNAcentral.